AGACUGGUAGCUCAGUUGGAGGAAGAGCACCACUGUACUACGCUGGAGGCCACAGGUUCAAUCCCUGUCUAGUCCA
This is a non-coding RNA of Paxillus rubicundulus Ve08.2h10, 76 nucleotides long. Lineage: Eukaryota; Fungi; Basidiomycota; Agaricomycetes; Boletales; Paxillaceae. The record is from Rfam.